CUAAGCCAUGCGAGUCAUUGUAGCAAUACAAGGCAGACGGCUCAGUAACGCGUAGUCAAUCUACCCUAUGGACGGGAAUAACCUCGGGAAACUGAGAAUAAUGCCCGAUAGAACAUUAUGCCUGGAAUGGUUUAUGUUUCAAAUGAUUUAUCGCCAUAGGAUGGGACUGCGGCCUAUCAGUUUGUUGGUGAGGUAAUGGCCCACCAAGACUAUUACAGGUACGGGCUCUGAGAGGAGUAGCCCGGAGAUGGGUACUGAGACACGGACCCAGGCCCUAUGGGGCGCAGCAGGCGAGAAAACUUUGCAAUGUGCGAAAGCACGACAAGGUUAAUCCGAGUGGUUUCUGCUAAAGAAACCUUUUGUCAGUCCUAGAAACACUGACGAAUAAGGGGUGGGCAAGUUCUGGUGUCAGCCGCCGCGGUAAAACCAGCACCUCAAGUGGUCAGGAUGAUUAUUGGGCCUAAAGCAUCCGUAGCUCGUUUUGUAAGUUUUCGGUUAAAUCCAUGCGCUUAACGUAUGGGCUGCCGGGAAUACUGCAUAACUAGGAAGUGGGAGAGGUAGACGGUACUCGGUAGGAAGGGGUAAAAUCCUUUGAUCUAUUGAUGACCACCUGUGGCGAAGGCGGUCUACCAGAACACGUUCGACGGUGAGGGAUGAAAGCUGGGGGAGCAAACCGGAUUAGAUACCCGGGUAGUCCCAGCUGUAAACUAUGCAAACUCAGUGAUGCAUUGGCUUGUGGCCAAUGCAGUGCUGCAGGGAAGCCGUUAAGUUUGCCGCCUGGGAAGUACGUACGCAAGUAUGAAACUUAAAGGAAUUGGCGGGGGAGCACCACAAGGGGUGAAGCCUGCGGUUCAAUUGGAGUCAACGCCAGAAAUCUUACCCGGAGAGACAGCAGAAUGAAGGUCAAGCUGAAGACUUUACCAGACAAGCUGAGAGGUGGUGCAUGGCCA
RNAcentral lists this ribosomal RNA (950 nucleotides) under uncultured archaeon. Its description in RNAcentral is "bacterial SSU rRNA". It matches the Rfam family "Archaeal small subunit ribosomal RNA", at positions 44 to 1000 of the family's 1478-position model. The record is from RNAcentral.